GACGAACGCUGGAGGCGUGCUUAACACAUGCAAGUCGAACGAUGAAAUGGAGCUUGCUCCAUGGAUUAGUGGCGAACGGGUGAGUAUCACGUGAAUAACCUGCCCUUAAUUUUGGAAUAACCCAGGGAAACCUGAGCUAAUACCGAAUAAGUAAACCUGUGGCAUCACAUGGUUUUGGAAAGUUUUUCGAUUAAGGAUGGAUUCGCGGCCUAUCAGCUUGUUGGUGAGGUAACGGCUCACCAAGGCGACGACGGGUAGCCGGCCUGAGAGGGUGAACGGCCACACUGGGACUGAGACACGGCCCAGACUCCUACGGGAGGCAGCAGUGGGGAAUAUUGCGCAAUGGACGAAAGUCUGACGCAGCGACGCCUCGUGAGGGACGAAGGUCUUCGGAUUGUAAACCUCUUUCAGCAGGGACGAAGCGAAAGUGACGGUACCUGCAGAAGAAGCACCGGCUAACUAUGUG
This 466-nucleotide ribosomal RNA is filed under the name uncultured bacterium. RNAcentral's name for it is "bacterial SSU rRNA". It matches the Rfam family "Bacterial small subunit ribosomal RNA", at positions 28 to 507 of the family's 1533-position model. The record is from RNAcentral.